UACGAAGGGGGCUAGCGUUGUUCGGAAUUACUGGGCGUAAAGCGCACGUAGGCGGCUUUGUAAGUCAGAGGUGAAAGCCCGGAGCUUAACUCCGGAAUUGCCUUUGAGACUGCAUCGCUUGAAUCCAGGAGAGGUGAGUGGAAUUCCGAGUGUAGAGGUGAAAUUCGUAGAUAUUCGGAAGAACACCAGUGGCGAAGGCGGCUCACUGGACUGGUAUUGACGCUGAGGUGCGAAAGCGUGGGGAGCAAACAGG
This 253-nucleotide ribosomal RNA is filed under the name uncultured bacterium. RNAcentral describes it as "partial 16S ribosomal RNA". It matches the Rfam family "Bacterial small subunit ribosomal RNA", at positions 524 to 776 of the family's 1533-position model. The record is from RNAcentral.